GCAGUGGUGGUUCAGUGGUAGAAUUCUCACCUUCCAUGCAGGAGACCUGGGCUCAAUUCCCGGCCAGUGCA
RNAcentral lists this transfer RNA (71 nucleotides) under Loxodonta africana (African savanna elephant). It matches the Rfam family "tRNA". From Rfam's summary of the family: Transfer RNA (tRNA) molecules are approximately 80 nucleotides in length. Their secondary structure includes four short double-helical elements and three loops (D, anti-codon, and T loops). The record is from Rfam by way of RNAcentral. Lineage: Eukaryota; Metazoa; Chordata; Mammalia; Proboscidea; Elephantidae.